AAAAUAAUGGCAGAUUAAUUGCGUAAAAUUUAAGAUUUUAUUAUACAUAUGUUUAUUUUA
RNAcentral lists this transfer RNA (60 nucleotides) under Spinibdella lignicola. Its description in RNAcentral is "tRNA-Leu". Lineage: Eukaryota; Metazoa; Arthropoda; Arachnida; Trombidiformes; Bdellidae. The record is from RNAcentral.